RNAcentral lists this transfer RNA (70 nucleotides) under Marmota marmota marmota (Alpine marmot). It matches the Rfam family "tRNA". Rfam says of the family: Transfer RNA (tRNA) molecules are approximately 80 nucleotides in length. Their secondary structure includes four short double-helical elements and three loops (D, anti-codon, and T loops). The record is from Rfam by way of RNAcentral. RNAcentral also lists the same sequence under 3 other names. Lineage: Eukaryota; Metazoa; Chordata; Mammalia; Rodentia; Sciuridae.
GGGGUUGAAGCUCAGUUGUAGAGCACAUACUUAGUGUGCAUGAGAUUCUGGGUUCAAUCCCAGCACCUCA